GAUGAACGCUGGCGGCGUGCCUAAUACAUGCAAGUCGAGCGAACAGACGAGGAGCUUGCUCCUCUGACGUUAGCGGCGGACGGGUGAGUAACACGUGGAUAACCUACCUAUAAGACUGGGAGAACUUCGGGAAACCGGAUCUAAUACCGGAUAAUAUAUUGAACCGCAUGGUUCAAUAGUGAAAGACGGUUUUGCUGUCACUUAUAGAUGGAUCCGCGCCGCAUUAGCUAGUUGGUAAGGUAACGGCUUACCAAGGCGACGAUGCGUAGCCGACCUGAGAGGGUGAUCGGCCACACUGGAACUGAGACACGGUCCAGACUCCUACGGGAGGCAGCAGUAGGGAAUCUUCCGCAAUGGGCGAAAGCCUGACGGAGCAACGCCGCGUGAGUGAUGAAGGUCUUCGGAUCGUAAAACUCUGUUAUUAGGGAAGAACAAAUGUGUAAGUAACUAUGCACGUCUUGACGGUACCUAAUCAGAAAGCAACGGCUAACUACGUG
This 497-nucleotide ribosomal RNA is filed under the name uncultured bacterium. RNAcentral's name for it is "partial 16S ribosomal RNA". It matches the Rfam family "Bacterial small subunit ribosomal RNA", at positions 28 to 507 of the family's 1533-position model. The record is from RNAcentral.